This 15124-nucleotide long non-coding RNA is filed under the name Triticum aestivum (bread wheat). RNAcentral's name for it is "long non-coding RNA (TAES_LNC024788)". The record is from RNAcentral. Lineage: Eukaryota; Viridiplantae; Streptophyta; Magnoliopsida; Poales; Poaceae.
GCGCCGUUGUGGGCUGCGGAUCCGACGGCUUGUGCCGACGACUCGGGUGGCGGAGCCACGGGCGCUCCCAUCUCCGGGGGCGGCUCCCCUCCCCGAGAUCGACCCCAACUCACCGGAGGCUCAGCGGGAGAUGCGGCGGGUGGUGCGGGAGCGGUUCCCCAAUCGGGAGGCGUGGGGGGACAUUCACCUCGACAUCCUUCGCUAUGCGAACUUCGCCGAGCGCGCGCGCUUCAUCGGCGACGACGGCUGCAUGGAUGUGGAGCUCCUCUUCUGGGCGAUUCAGGAAGCCGAGUCGCCAGAUCCUGCACAAGCGGCGAAGUGGGCGUUCUUCAAGACGGCGAAUCCUUCUCGACUCAACAUCAGGCCGCCGUCGGUGGAGGGGAUUGCCAGCAUUCCGCCGGAAUUCCUCCCCCCGGGGGUGGAGCUGCCCCGCCGUCGCCAGUAAGAGAUCCGACGCCUCGCCUGUCCCAACACCGCGCCAUCGAUCCCCCUCCCUGGCCUGGUGAGGGAGGUAUGCAUGCAUUUCGCCUUCCUCAUACAUUUCGUUCGCGUUUGUUGGCUCUGCGUUCGCGGAGGAUCCAGUACAAGGUGUUGAUGGAUUGUGUAUCGUCUCGCUUAGUUGAUUCGGACGAAAAUAGGAUUUCUCCUGUCAUGCGCUUUGAACCACCUGAUGUUACUGCCAUUUCUAUGGCCUCUGGACAUGCGACUAAAUCAAAUUUGGAUAGAAUUAGGGGUUCCCCUGGUGCGUUGAUUGCAUCUACUAAUGCUGUUGCCGUUUCUACGGUCGGUAAAUCUAUGAACAAUUUGAAUUUAGGCGAUAGCCUGCUUAACAGCACGAGUGUGACAGGUAAAAAGCUGUCCUCUGUUCCUACUCAGAUUGCGACAGGCCCUAGUUUCAAAAUUCGUGAUCCUGGUAGGAAAACGUAUUCUCAGGGGACGCGUUCACGUGGGCAGGGUGACCUAGAAACUAUAGAAGAGCACUUUGGCCAACUCUGGCUUAUCCCCUCCCCUCCCCGCCGCCGCCUACCUCCUCCACAAACAUCCCCUCGUGUUCAUCCCUCUCCUUCUGGGUUCACUUGUUGGAUCCGGAAGGAUUUGAUCUCCUCCCACUCGUUCAUGGCCGCUGAUUGGAAUCCUGCGCCGCGUCGUGCUUUUGAUCCAAUUCCAAGAACCAUCAAGGUUUCGAGGGAGGGUUUGGGCCCUGGAUCUCUUUCGUUUGCGACAGUUGUGAAGCAAUGGAUUGCGAUGGCUGACCGGAGGGUUGCUGGCGUGGGCGGUGUUGGGGAACGUAGUAAUUUCAAAAAAAUUCCUACGCACACGCAAGAUCAUGGUGAUGCAUAGAAACGAGAGGGGAGAGUGUUGUCCACGUACCCUCCUAGACCGAAAGCGGAAGCGUUAGCACAACGCGGUUGAUGUAGUCGUACGUCUUCACGAUCCGACCGAUCAAGUACCGAACGCACGGCACCUCCGAGUUCAGCACAUGUUCAGCCCGAUGACGUCCCUCGAACUCCGAUCUAGCCGAGUGUUGAGGGAGAGUUUUGUCAGCACGACGGCGUGGUGACGAUGAUGAUGUUCUACCGAUGCAGGGCUUCGCCUAAGCACCGCUACGAUAUUAUCGAGGUGGAUUAUGGUGGAGGGGGGCACCGCACACGGCUAAGAGAUCCAAGGGAUCAAUUGUUGUGUCUCCAAGGGGUGCCCCUCUCCCCGUAUAUAAAGGAGUGGAGGAGGGGGAGGGCCGGCCCUCUCUAUGGCGCGCCCUAGGAGGAGUCCUACUCCCACCGGGAGUAGGAUUCCCCCCUUCCAAGUAGUAGGAGUAGGAGUCAAGGAAACGGGAGAGAGAAGAGAAGGAAGGAGGGGGCGCAACCCCUCCCCCUAGUCCAAUUCUGACUAGGCCUUGGGUUGCGCUCAGCCUCUCCUCUCUCUUUCCCCUAAAGCCCAAUAAGGCCCAUAUACUCCCCGGCAAAUUCCCGUAACUCUCCGGUACUACGAAAAAUACCCGAAUCACUCGGAACCUUUCCGAUGUCCGAAUAUAGUCGUCCAAUAUAUCGAUCUUUACGUCUCGACCAUUUCGAGACUCCUCGUCAUGUCCCUGAUCUCAUCCGGGAUUCCGAACUACCUUCGGUACAUCAAAACACAUAAACUCAUAAUAUAACCGUCAUCGAACUUUAAGCGUGCGGACCCUACGGGUUCGAGAACAAUGUAGACAUGACCGAGACACGUCUCCGGUCAAUAACCAAUAUCAGAACCUGGAUGCUCAUAUUGGCUCCCACAUAUUCUACGAAGAUCUGUAUCGGUCAAACCGCAUAACAACAUACAUUGUUCCCUUUGUCACCGGUAUGUUACUUGCCCGAGAUUCGAUCGUCGGUAUCUCAAUACCUAGUUCAAUCUCGUUACCGGCAAGUCUCUUUACUCGUUCCGUAAUACAUCAUCCCGCAACUAACUCAUUAGUUACAAUGCUUGCAAGGCUUAAGUGAUGUUCAUUACCGAGUGGGCCCAGAGAUACCUCUCCGACAAUCAGAGUGACAAAUCCUAACCUCGAAAUAUGCCAACCCAACAAGUACCUUCAGAGACACCUGUAGAGCACCUUUAUAAUCACCUAGUUACGUUGUGACGUUUGGUAGCACACAAAGUGUUCCUCCGGUAAACGGGAGUUGCAUAAUGUCAUAGUCAUAGGAACAUGUAUAAGUCAUGAAGAAAGCAAUAGCAACAUACUAAACGAUCAAGUGCUAAGCUAACGGAAUGGGUCAAGUCAAUCACAUCAUUCUCCUAAUGAUGUGAUCCCGUUAAUCAAAUGACAACUCUUUGUCCAUGGCUAGGAAACUCAACCAUCUUCGAUUAACGAGCUAGUCAAGUAGAGGCAUACUAGUGACACUCUGUUUGUCUAUGUAUUCACACAUGUAUUAUGUUUCCGGUUAAUACAAUUCUAGCAUGAAUAAUAAACAUUUAUCAUGAAAUAAGGAAAUAAAUAAUAACUUUAUUAUUGCCUCUAGGGCAUAUUUCCUUCAGUCUCCCACAUGCACUAGAGUCAAUAAUCUAGUUCACAUCGCCAUGUGAUUUAACACCAAUAGUUCACAUCAUCAUGUGACCAACACCCAAAGGGUUUACUAGAAUCAAUAAUCUAGUUCACAUUGCUAUGUGAUUAACACCCAAAGAGUACUAAGGUGUGAUCAUGUUUUGCUUGUGAGAGAAGCUUAGUCAACGGGCCUAUCAUAUUUAGAGCCGUAUGUAUUUUGCAAAUAUUCUAUGUCUACAAUGCUCUGCACGGAGCUACUCUAGCUAAAUGCUCCCACUUUCAAUAUGUAUCCAGAUCGAGAUUCAGAGGCAUCCAGAUCGGUGUCAAAGCUUGCAUCGACGUAACUUUUUACAACGAACUCUUUAUCACCUCCAUAACCGAGAAACAUAUCCUUAUUCCACUAAGGAUAAUUUUGACCGCUGUCUAGUGAUCUACUCCUAGAUCACUAUUGUACUCCCUUGCCAAAAGCAGUGUAGGGUAUACAAUAGAUCUGGUUCACAGCAUGGCAUACUUUAUAGAACCUAUGGCUGAGGCAUAGGGAAUGACUUUCAUUCUCUUUCUAUCUUCUGCCGUGGUCGGGCAUUGAGUCUUACUCAAUUUCACACCUUGUAACACAGGCAAAAACUCUUUCUUUGAUUGUUCCAUUUUGAACUACUUCAAAAUCUUGUCAAGGUAUGUACUCAUUGAAAAAACUUAUCAAGCGUCUUGAUCUAUCUCUAUAGAUCUUGAUACUCAAUAUGUAAGCAGCUUCUCCGAGGUAUUUCUUUGAAAAACUCCUUUCAAACACUCCUUUAUGCUUUGCAGAAUAAUUCUACAUUAUUUCCGAUCAACAAUAUGUCAUUCACAUAUACUUAUCAGAAAUGCUGUAGUGCUCCCACUCACUUUCUUGUAAAUACAGGCUUCACCGCAAGUCUGUAUAAAACUAUAUCCUUUGAUCAACUUAUCAAAGCGUAUAUUCCAACUCUGAGAUGCUUGCACCAGUCCAUAGAUGGAUCGCUGGAGCUUGCAUAUUUUGUUAGCACCUUUAGGAUUGACAAAACCUUCUGGUUGCAUCAUAUACAACUCUUCUUUAAUAAAUCCAUUAAGGAAUGCAGUUUUGUUUAUCCAUUUGCCAGAUUUCAUAAAAUGCGGCAAUUGCUAACAUGAUUCGGACAGACUUAAGCAUAGAUACGAGUGAGAAACUCUCAUCGUAGUCAACACCUUGAACUUGUCGAAAACCUUUUGCGAAAAUUCUAGCUUUGUAGAUAGUAACACUACUAUCAGCGUCCGUCUUCCUCUUGAAGAUCCAUUUAAUCUCAAUGGCUUGCCGAUCAUUGGGCAAGUCAAUUAAAGUCCAUACUUUGUUCUCAUACAUGGAUCUCAUCUCAGAUUUCAUGGCCUCAAGCCAUUUUGCGGAAUCUGGGCUCAUCAUCGCUUCCUCAUAGUUCGUAGGUUCGUCAUGGUCAAGUAACAUGACCUCCAGAACAGGAUUACCGUACCACUCUGGUGCGGAUCUCACUCUGGUUUACCUACGAGGUUCGGUAGUAACUUGAUCUGAAGUUACAUGAUCAUCAUCAUUAGCUUCCUCACUAAUUGGUGUAGUAGUCACAGGAACAGAUUUCUGUGAUGAACUACUUUCCAAUAAGGGAGCAGGUACAGUUACCUCAUCAAGUUCUACUUUCCUCCCACUCACUUCUUUCAAGAGAAACUCCUUCUCUAGAAAGGAUCCAUUCUUAGCAAUGAAUGUCUUGCCUUCGGAUCUGUGACAGAAGGUGUACCCAAUAGUCUCCUUUGGGUAUCCUAUGAAGACACAUUUCUCCGAUUUGGGUUCAAGCUUAUCAUGUUGAAACUUUUUCACAUAAGCAUCGCAACCCCAAACUUUAAGAAAUGUCAACUUUGGUUUCUUGCCAAACCACAGUUCAUAAGGUGUCAUCUCAACGGAUUCAGAUGGUGCCCUUUUUUAACGUGAAUGCAGCUGUCGCUAAUGCAUAACCCCAAAACGAUAGUGGUAGAUUGGUAAGAAACAUCAUAGAUCGCACCAUAUCUAAUAAAGUACGGUUAUGACGUCCGGACACACCAUUAUGCUGUGGUGUUCCAGGUGGCGUGAGUUGCGAAACUAUUCCGCAUUGUUUCAACUGAAGGCCAAACUCGUAACUCAAAUAUUUUACCUCUGCGAUCAUAUCGUAGAAACUUUUAUUUUCUUGUUACGAUGAUUCUCCACUUCACUCUCAAAUUCUUUGAACUUUUCAAAUGUUUCAGACUUGUGUUUCAUCAAGUAGAUAUACCCAUAUCUGCUCAAAUCAUCUGUGAAGGUCAGAAAAUAACAAUACUUGCCGCGAGCCUUAACACUCAUCGGACCGCAUACAUCAGUAUGUAUUAUUUCCAAUAAGUCAGUUGCUCGGUCCAUUGUUCCGGAGAACGGAGUCUUUAGUCAUCUUGCCCAUAAGGCAUGGUUCGCAAGCAUCAAGUGAUUCGUAAUCAAGUGAUUCCAAAAGUCCAUCAGCAUGGAGUUUCUUCAUGCGCUUUACACCAAUAUGACCUAAACGGCAGUGCCACAAAUAAGUUGCACUAUCAUUAUUAACUUUGCAUCUUUUGGCUUCAAUAUUAUGAAUAUGUGUCUCACUAUGAUCGAGAUCCAACGAACCAUUUUCAUUGGGUGUGUAACCAUAUAAGGUUUUAUUCAUGUAAACAGAACAACAAUUAUUCUCUAACUUAAAUGAAUAACCGUAUUUCAAUAAACAUGAUCAAAUCAUAUUCAUGCUCAACGCAAACACCAAAUAACACUUAUUUAGGUUCAACACUAAUCCCGAAAGUAUAGGGAGUGUGCGAUGAUGAUCAUAUCAAUCUUGGAACCACUUCCAAUACACAUCGUCACUUCAUCCUUAACUAGUUUCUGUUCAUUAUGCAACUCCCAUUUUGAGUUACUACUUUUAGCAACUGAACCACUAUCAAAUACCGAGGGGUUGCUAUAAACACUAGUAAAGUACACAUCAAUAACAUGUAUAUCAAAUAUACUUAUGUUCACUUUGCCAUCCUUCUUAUCCGUCAAUUACUUGGGGUAGUUCCGCUUCCAGUGACCAGUCCCUUUGCAGUAGAUGCACUUAGUCUCAGGCUUAGGUCCAGACUUGGGCUUCUUCACUUGAGUAGCAACUUGCUUGCCGUUCUUCUUGAAGUUCCCCUUCUUCCCUUUGCCCUUCUCUUGAAACUAGUGGUCUUGUCAAUCAUCAACACUUGCUUGAUUUCUACCUUCGUCGAUUUCAGCAUCACGAAGAGCUUGGGAAUCGUUUCCGUUUAUCCCUUGCAUAUUAUAGUUCAUCACGAAGUUCUAUUAACUUGGUGAUAGUGACUAGAGAACUUUGUCAAUUACUAUCUUAUCUGGAAGAUUAACUCCCAAUUGAUUCAAGUAAUUGUAGUACUCAGACAAUCUGAGCACAUGCUCACUGGUUGAGCUAUUCUCCUCCAUCUUAUUGGCAAAGUACUGUCAGAGGUCUCAUACCUCUCGACAUGGGCACGAGUAUGAAAUACCAAUUUCAACUCUUGGAACAUCUUAUAUGCUCCGUGGCGUUCAAAACAUUUUUGAAGUCCCGGUUCUAAGCCGUAAAGCAUGGUGCACUAAACUAUCAAGUAGUCAUCAUACCGAGCUUUUUGUCAAAACGUUCAUAACGUCUGCAUCUGCUCCUGCAAUAGUUCUGUCACCUAGCGGUGCAUCAAGGACAUAAUACUUCUGUGCAGCAAUGAGGUUAAUCCUCAGAUCACGGACCAAGUCCACAUCAUUGCUACUAACAUCUUUCAACUUAAUUUUCUCUAGGAACAUAUCAAAAUAAAACAGCGGAGCUAAACGCGAGCUAUUGAUCUACAACAUGGAUAUGCUAAUACUACCAGGACUAAGUUCAUGAUAAAUUUAAGUUUAAUUAAUCAUAUUACUUAAGAACUCCCACUUAGAUAGACAUCCCUCUAAUCAUCUAAGUGAUCACGUGAUCCAAAUCAACUAAACCAUAACCGAUCAUCACGUGAAAUGGAGUAGUUUUCAAUGGUGAACAUCCCUAUGUUGAUCAUAUCUACUAUAUGAUUCACGCUCGACCUUUCGGUCUCAGUGUUCCGAGGCCAUAUCUGCAUAUGCUAGGCUCGUCAAGUUUAACCUGAGUAUUCUGCGUGUGCAAAACUGGCUUGCACCCGUUGUAGAUGGACGUAGAGCUUAUCACACUCGAUGAUCACGUGGUGUCUGGGCACGACGAACUUUGGCAACGGUGCAUACUCAGGGAGAACACUUUUAUCUUGAAAUUUAGUGAGAGAUCAUCUUAUAAUGCUACCGUCAAUCAAAGCAAGAUAAGAUGCAUAAAAGAUAAACAUCACAUGCAAUCAAUAUAAGUGAUAUGAUAUGGCCGUCAUCAUCUUGUGCUUGUGAUCUCCAUCUCCGAAGCACCGUCAUGAUCACCAUCGUCACCGGCGCGACACCUUGAUCUCCAUCGUAGCAUCGUUGUCGUCUCGCCAACUUAUGCUUCUACGACUAUCGCUACCACUUAGUGAUAAAGUAAAGCAUUAUAGGGCGAUUGCAUUGCAUACAAUAAAGCGACAACCAUAUGGCUCCUGCCAGUUGCCGAUAACUCGGUUACAAAACAUGAUCAUCUCAUACAAUAAAAUUUAGUAUCAUGUCUUGACCAUAUCACAUCACAACAUGCCCUGCAAAAACAAGUUAGACGUCCUCUACUUUGUUGUUGCAAAUUUUACGUGGCUGCUACGGGCUUAGCAAGAACCGUUCUUAACUACGCAUCAAAACCACAAUGAUAGUUUGUCAAGUUGGUGUUGUUUUAACCUUCGCAAGGACCGGGCAUAGCCACACUUGGUUCAACUAAAGUUGGAGAAACUGACACCCGCCAGCCACCUAUGUGUAAAGCACAUCGGUAGAACCAGUCUCGCGUAAGCGUACGCGUAAUGUCGGUCCGGGCCGCUUCAUCCAACAAUACCGCCGAACCAAAGUAUGACAUGCUGGUAAGCAGUAUGACUUAUAUCGCCCACAACUCACUUGUGUUCUACUCGUGCAUAUAAUAUCAACGCAUAAAACCUGGCUCGGAUACCACUGUUGGGGAACGUAGUAAUUUCAAAAAAAUUCCUACGCACACGCAAGAUCAUGGUGAUGCAUAGCAACGAGAGGGGAGAGUGUUGUCCACGUACCCUCCUAGACCGAAAGCGGAAGCGUUAGCACAACGCGGUUGAUGUAGUCGUACGUCUUCACGAUCCGACCGAUCAAGUACCGAACGCACGGCACCUCCGAGUUCAGCACACGUUCAGCCCGUGACGUCCCUCGAACUCCGAUCCAGCCGAGUGUUGAGGGAGAGUUUCGUCAGCACGACGACGUGGUGACAAUGAUGAUGUUCUACCGACGCAGGGCUUCGCCUAAGCACCGCUACGAUAUUAUCGAGGUGGAUUAUGGUGGAGGGGGGCACCGCACACGGCUAAGAGAUCCAAGGGAUCAAUUGUUGUGUCUCCAAGGGGUGCCCCUCUCCCCGUAUAUAAAGGAGUGGAGGAGGGGGAGGGCGCCCUAGGAGGAGUCCUACUCCCACCUUCCAAGUAGUAGGAGUAGGAGUCAAGGAAACGGGAGAGAGAAGAGAAGGAAGGAGGGGGCGCAACCCCUCCCCCUAGUCCAAUUCGGACUAGACCUUGGGGGCGCCCAGCCUCUCAUCUCUCUUUCCCCUAAAGCCCAAUAAGGCCCAUGUACUCCCCGGCGAAUUCCCGUAACUCUCCGGUACUCCGAAAAAUACCCGAAUCACUCGGAACCUUUCCGAUGUCCGAAUAUAGUCGUCCAAUAUAUCGAUCUUUACGUCUCGACCAUUUCGAGACUCCUCGUCAUGUCCCCGAUCUAAUCCGGGACUCCGAACUACCUUCGGUACAUCAAAAGACAUAAACUCAUAAUAUAACCGUCAUCGAACUUUAAGCGUGCGGACCCUACGGGUUCGAGAACAAUGUAGACAUGACCGAGACACGUCUCCGGUCAAUAACCAAUAGCGGAACCUGGAUGCUCAUAUUGGUUCCCACAUAUUCUACGAAGAUCUUUAUCGGUCAAACCGCAUAACAACAUACGUUGUUCCCAUUGUCAUCGGUAUGUUACUUGCCCGAGAUUCGAUCGUCGGUAUCUCAAUACCUAGUUCAAUCUCGUUACCGGCAAGUCUCUUUACUCAUUCCGUAAUACAUCAUCCCGCAACUAACUCAUUAGUUACAAUGCUUGCAAGGCUUAAGUGAUGUUCAUUACCGAGUGGGCCCAGAGAUACCUCUCCGACAAUCGGAGUGACAAAUCCUAAUCUCGAAAUACGCCAACCCAACAAGUAUCUUCGGAGACACCUGUAGAGCACCUUUAUAAUUACCCAGUUACGUUGUGACGUUUGGUAGCACAUAAAGUGUUCCUCCGGUAAACAGGAGUUGCAUAAUCUCAUAGUCAUAGGAACAUGUAUAAGUCAUGAAAAAGCAAUAGCAACAUACGAAACGAUCAAGUGCUAAGCUAACAGAAUGGGUCAAGUCAAUCACAUCAUUCUCCUAAUGAUGUGAUCCCGUUAAUCAAAUGACAACUCUUUGUCCUUGGCUAGGAAACUCAACCAUCUUCGAUUAACGAGCUAGUCAAGUAAAGGCAUACUAGCGACACUAUUUGUCUAUGUAUUCACACAUGUAUUAUGUUUCCAGUUAAUACAAUCUAGCAUGAAUAAUAAACAUUUACCAUGAAAUAAGGAAAUAAAUAAUAACUUUAUUAUUGCCUCUAGGGCAUAUUUCCUACAGGCGGCCCCUCAAAGGCUGCUACCCAGAGAGCCAACCCGCAAGGAGGGAGGAGGCAGCCAUCUGCCACUACCUCGAAGGAGCUGAUGCCAGCAGCAAAACCUACCAGAUCCACAGCCUCUACGGCUGCUUCAUCCCAAGUGCAGUCUUCUCAAUCAGUAGAGGUAGAGAUGGAGCAAGUUUUAGAUCCUGGAUACAAGGACAUGAUCUGUUUCAACUGCGGUGGUCCAGGGCAUUAUGUUGGGAAUUGUAUUAAGCCGAAAACAUGCUUCAUAUGUCAGCAAAAUCACAACGUGAAUAACUGUGCUGCCUGGACUAGGGUUCAACCAACUGCUGCCUUUUUGGCAGUGGAACAAGUGGUGUUGGUUUUUACCAUGUGGAUGUCCCUGUUGCUAAUGAAUCCAACUGGCUGAACUUUCAAAACUGUGUUGUGGUUAAUAUUCUCAAAGGUGAUGUGGACAAGGAGUUGCUGUUAAGUCUUUUGACUGCUACCUUCUGCAAAACUAGACAGUGGCCUUGGCAGAUCAGGGGGCUGUCCAGUAAGACAUUCCUGCUGAGAUUUCCACCAUGGAAGAAAGUGGAGGAUCUCAUCGAAUUGCUUGGAUUCUCUUUGCCUCAAGAUGUCUCUGUUACACUUAUUGAGUGGAAGGGGGCAUGCGAACCUUUUGGAGAGCUUGUUUAGACUUGGGUUCUGAUUGAAGGAAUUCCUCCUAAAUGGUGCACAUGGAAAGUUUUUGCUCAGAUUGCUUCCCUGUUUGGGGUACUGACUGAUGUAGACUGGAAUGGCAUGUUCAGGACCUUUUUUGAGAAUGUUAGGAUUAAAAUUGCUUGCAGGGACCCCACAAAAAUCCCAUUUGAAAGGCUCAUUGAGAUGAAGAAGAAGUUGUUUUUACUGGGCUUCACUGUGGAGGGCUUUGAACAAGUUGGUGGGGUUGACUCUGUUAUUGAUAUUGAGGAUGAUGAGGAGUUUGAAGGAGAGGGUGAUGCUGAGAGACAGGAGGAUGAGGGUGGAAAUGUUCAGAAGGAUGGCUUGGAAGACUUACUUGAUAGUGAGGGGGCAAUUGAUGAGUUAGAUAAGGCUAAUAUUACUAGUUAGAUUAAGAAUAAACAGAAAGGGGCACAGGCUGACAUGUUCUUCUCUGAUUCUGAUCAUGAAACUUUUAUCCUAGAGUGUGUUAAUGCUGAUAAAGAAGAACAUCUGGUGACUGAUAAAAGAACUGACCAUAAGGAUUUCUGUCCUUCUGCUUUGAUGGAUUCCACUCCAUCCAGGCCAUUGGUGAAGAUUGUUGAGGGAACCACUAGUUCUGGAGGGAAGCUUGAAAGCAUGGAGUAUUGUGAGAGUAUCCUUAAAAAUGUUGACUUUUCUGAGUCUGAGGAACAGAACUCCAAGGAUGAUGAUCUUGAAACUCUUCCUCCUGAAGCUGUACAGGCCAUUCAGAACAUUUCUCUGAAAAGAUCUCUGCUAGAAACCCUUGAUCAGGCUCAUGAUCCACCAAAAGUUGAGAAGACCAAGUGGGGGCCUGUACUGGUUCAGAAACCUACUACUAGGGGGCAUGGCAACUUGAACAUCAUGGAGAAAGCUGCUGCUUACAAGAGGAAGCAGAAUCUGGAAAUUCCAAAUUUUUUUAAAGGUAAAUCAUUCACUAAUACUGAUCAUGACAUUUUAUUUGAACAAAUGAGUAAAAUUGAUAUUUGCAUUGGGGGGGAUGAUGCUAAUAGACAUGAAACCAUUGACAUGUUGGUUGAUGGGGAAAAAGAGAGAUGCUUGGCCUUUGCCAAUAACAACCCUGAAAUUGUCCUUCCAGAUAAUAUAGAGUUAGAUCAUGAUGAUUUGGUUGGGAGACCUUUGGAUGAUUACUCACUCAAGCCAGUCGGCACUGCUGAUGCCUUGAGGAGAACUCCAAAUGUCUUAACUAAAGCUAGGCCUUGUGGCCUGUCUCAUCCUUUCAAAGUUGCUUAAAAUGAUAGGUCUCAUUUGGAAUAUUAGAGGGCUUGGUCAACCUGGUAAAGUUCAGUGCCUUUGUGAUACCAUUGCUAGAGCUAACCCUGAUUUUAUUGGGUUUCAAGAAACUAAGAGAGAGGUUAUAGAUAGGAGUGAUAGUUUCUUGAUUGGGAUGCCCACUUCCCAAUGUCCUCCCUAACUGCCCUUCCCAGGGUAGGGAGUGACCAUACCCCCUUGGUGUUAGACACUGGAGGGCGCCGGUCUUUGAGUCCUAAGAUGUUCAGGUUUGAGAAGUGGUGGUUGUCCCAAUCUGGUUUUCGCCAGAUGGUCCAUGAAACUUUGUCGUCUGUUUCCUCAUCCACUUCUUCGGUAGAUAACUUGCUGUCUAAAACCAGGUUACUUAGGAAGAAGGCAAAAGAAUGGGCCAUUAAUAUUGAGGCUGCGAUGAAAAGAAAGAAAAAAUCCCUCCUUAUGGAGUUUGACCUGCUUGAUGUUCUAUCUGAAUCCCAACAGUUGUCUGCUGCUGAUCAUCAUAGAAUGAAAGCUGUGAAAUUAGAACUAGAGGAGAUUUGGAAAAAAGAGGAGAUUGCCUUCUGGCAGAAGUCUAGAGACAGGAAAAUUCUUGAAGGGGACCGUAAUAAUGCUUAUUUCCAAGCUUUAGCAAAUCAUAGACAUAGGAAGAAUCAUCUUUCUGAGUUGAUAGGCCCUUCUGGGCCUGUGACAUCCACUGAAAACAUGUUGGAAGUAGCUACUGAUUUCUACAAAAACCUGUUUGCUUAUGAACCUAAACCUGAUUUGCAUUUGGGGAAUGGUUUUUUGUCCGAGGCAGAAAUGAUUAGCGAGGAAGUUCGGGGAGACCUGGAGAGACCCUUUUCUGAGGAUGAGAUCAAAGAGGCGAUUAUGAGCUCAUAUGCCAGUGGGGCCCCAGGCCCUGAUGGCUUAUCUUUUCUCUUUUAUCAAAACUUCUGGGACCUUAUUAAGAAUGACUUGACUAUGCUAUCAUCACUCUCAUGCCUAAGAUCCCCCUGGCGAGAGAGAUGAAAAACUUUAGACCUAUUAGUCUUAGCAAUUGUGCUGUGAAAAUAUUUUCUAAAGCCAUGAAUACUAGGGCUUCCCCUAUCUGUGAUAAACUCAUUUCACAUAACCAGACUGCUUUUAUUAAAGGGAGAUUCAUCUUGGAAAGUGUGGUUAUGGCCCAUGAAGUGAUUCAUGAGGUUCAUAGAUCUAAUUCUAGUGGGUUGAUACUUAAACUUGAUUAUGAGAAAGCCUAUGAUAGGGUCAGCUGGGAUUUCUUGGAGGAAAUGCUUCUUUCUAGAGGCUUUGGGGUUAAGUGGGUCAGUUGGGUGCUUAGCACCUUGAUAUAUGGGACAUUCCAAGUUAGGAUUAAUGACACUAAUGGGCCACACUUUGUAGGUGGGAAAGGGCUGAAGCAAGGUGACCCUCACUCCCCAUUACUUUUUAACCUGGUGGCAGAUGUCUUUUCAAAAAUGCUAGUGAAAGCUGUUAAUAAUGGUUUGAUUGGUGGGCUUCUCCCACAUGCCAUCCCUGGUGGAGUAGCUAGUUUACAAUAUGCUGAUGAUACCAUUCUGUUCAUCCAGGAGUCUGUGGACUGUGCAAAAAAUUUGAAAUGGAUCCUGACUUGUUUAGAGAAGCUUUCUGGCUUAAAAAUCAACUUCCAUAAAAGUGAUUUGCAUACCAUUCAUGUUUCUGAGCAAAUGUCUAGAGAGUUUGCUCAAAUUUUUUGCUGCCAAUUUGGUGACUUUCCCUUCAAGUAUCUUGGUGUGCCUCUUCACUUUGAAAAACUGAGAAGGGAAGACUUGCAACCUAUCAUUGAUAGGAUUAUUAAGAACAUUGCUGGUUGGCUGGGCAAGCUUUUGUAUUAUAGAGGCAAACUGAUUCUACUGACUACUUGUAUUGCCAGCAUUCCCUCAUAUCUCAUGGCUAUGGUGAAAUUCCCAAAGUGGGCUAUUGACAUGAUUACUUCCCAAAUGUCUCAUUUCUUUUGGGGCAAUGUGGGUGAGGUUCACAAAUACCAUCUAGCUAAUUGGGGCCUUGUGGCUAGAAGGAAGGAAUUUGGUGGCCUGGGUGUCCCCAACCUUAGGGAAUUCAAUAUGGCUCUCCUGGCCUCAUGGGGUAAAAGAUUUUAUGAUGGGAGGGAGGGAGAUUGGAAAAAACUUCUCUGCUUUAAGUAUGCUACUGAUAAACCUAAUAUUUUCCAUGCUAAACCUGCCUCGGGGUCUCCUUUUUGGAAAAUCAUUUCCUGGGCUUUUUCUGCUGCCAGAAACUUUUGGAAAUGGAAUCAUGGGAAUGGGGAUAACAUUGCCUUUUGGCAUGAUAACUGAACUGGGGGAUGCUCCCUGAAAACUGCUUUUUGGGAUUUAUUUGAUAUAUGUCAUCAUCAGGAUGCUACUUUGUCCCAGGUGUGGGAUGGGGUGCACCUGUGUCUCACCUUCAGGAGAUGUGUGGAUGAGGUUAUGAUGCACAAAUGGGACUUAUUAGUUGACUUGGUUAAACAAACUACCCUUUCCGAUCAAUCAGACAACCCUAUCUGGGGCCUAGAAUCAAAUGGUCAAUACUCUGUAAACUCGUUUUAUAAACUGAUUAACUUUGGUGGGAUACCUUCUGAGAUUAGAGAUUUUAUUUGGAAAAUCAAAGUCCCUCCAAAUAUCCAUGUCUUCUUAUGGCUGAUGUACAACAACAAGAGCCUGACUAGAGACAAUCUGGCCAAAAGAAGACAUGUAGAGGAUAAAACUUGUGUUUUCUGUACCGAACCGGAAUCUAUCCAACACCUUUUGUUUGAUUGCAUUGUUGCAUCUAAUAUCUGGGCUGUGGUUGCCGAAGCACUUGACAUUACCCCUCCUGUUUCUUUUAUAUCAUUCACUUCUUUCUGGAAGAAGAAAAAACAAUGUGAAGCUAUAAAUAUUGCUACAUCUGCUACCUUGUGGUGCUUAUGGCGUUUGCGCAAUGGUUUUGUUUUCUAGGGGAAAAGAUGGCGAGAUAUACGCUGUGUGCUGGGGCAGGUGGCGACAACAAUCAGGCAGUGGAAAAUCCUAUCUUCAGAGGCCCAGGGUGCUCUACUUCUCCGGUGCUGGGGCAGGUGGCGACAACAAUGGUGUGCUGGGGCAGGUGGCGACAACAAUGUAAUGAGUGACUUAUCACCUUCAGUGGCUGUAAGAAUGACGCUUCUAUGGAGAGAUGUAAUAGGGAUGUAGCUUAAAACCCUGGUGUUUGUUCUGUGGCAGCUACUUUUGGUUGUCGCCGAGAGCUAUUCAACAGUCUAGUUCUGUCGUUGCCUUGGCUUAAUAAAAAGUUGGGGCGGGGGGCGACCCCUUUCUUUCAAAAAAAAGAAAGAAAAAAAAUCAGGAUGGCUAAGCAGUUUAUUUCAAGAAGCUUCUUUAAAUAAAAUGUGAUAGCUCACCAAGUCACCA